GAAUUCGCCCUUAGAGUUUGAUCCUGGCUCAGGACGAACGCUGGCGGCGUGCCUAACACAUGCAAGUCGAACGGAGUUGAAAGGAGCUUGCUUUUUUCAACUCAGUGGCGGACGGGUGAGUAACGCGUGAGUAACCUGCCUUUCAGAGGGGGAUAACGUUCUGAAAAGAACGCUAAUACCGCAUAAGAUUGUAGUUUCGCAUGGAGCAGCAAUCAAAGGAGCAAUCCGCUGAAAGAUGGACUCGCGUCCGAUUAGAUAGUUGGCGGGGUAACGGCCCACCAAGUCGACGAUCGGUAGCCGGACUGAGAGGUUGAUCGGCCACAUUGGGACUGAGACACGGCCCAGACUCCUACGGGAGGCAGCAGUGAGGGAUAUUGGGCAAUGGGGGAAACCCUGACCCAGCAACGCCGCGUGAGGGAUGACGGUUUUCGGAUUGUAAACCUCUGUCCUCUGUGAAGAUAGUGACGGUAGCAGAGGAGGAAGCUCCGGCUAACUACGUGCCAGCAGCCGCGGUAAUACGUAGGGAGCAAGCGUUGUCCGAAUUUACUGGGUGUAAAGGGUGCGUAGGCGGAUUGGCAAGUCAGAAGUGAAAUCCAUGGGCUUAACCCAUGAACUGCUUUUGAAACUGUUAGUCUUGAGUGAAGUAGAGGUAGGCGGAAUUCCCGGUGUAGCGGUGAAAUGCGUAGAGAUCGGGAGGAACACCAGUGGCGAAGGCGGCCUACUGGGCUUUAACUGACGCUGAGGCACGAAAGUGUGGGUAGCAAACAGGAUUAGAUACCCUGGUAGUCCACACUGUAAACGAUGAUUACUAGGGUGUGGGGGGGUCUAACCCCCCUCCGUGCCCGGAGUUAACACAAUAAG
RNAcentral lists this ribosomal RNA (861 nucleotides) under uncultured bacterium. Its description in RNAcentral is "bacterial SSU rRNA". It matches the Rfam family "Bacterial small subunit ribosomal RNA", at positions 1 to 864 of the family's 1533-position model. The record is from RNAcentral.